Molecule: long non-coding RNA, 976 nt
Organism: Gallus gallus (chicken)
Lineage: Eukaryota; Metazoa; Chordata; Aves; Galliformes; Phasianidae
Source: Ensembl
GUAAGACAUCUUUGUGUUUCCUACUCAAAUGAUGGUUACUUAAACAGUCUAUUAAUGAAGGACUAUAUCUGUUCUUAUCUUCUUUGCUUCUUCCUGCUUUUUCAUUUUUAUUACAAAUUCUCAUUAAAUUCACUACACUUAAGCAGAAAGGAGAAGUUGAAUCAAUCAGUAACAUAUUUUUACAGCUGCAGAAAGCAAUAUAAGUUUGGUUAAACCUUAUCUUGAAGUAGUGCUCAGCCCAUGGAAGUGCAGUUACUUAACACAACAAGACAGGGGAAAGAGGGCUCUUGUGUAGAGUUACAGCUGUCAAGAAUCUAACCUGGAGAGCAGAGAAUAGAAGGGGUUGUGUUUCAAAGGACCAUGGAAUCAUUAGAAUUCUUGGAGUUGGAAGGGAUCUUUAAAGGUCGUCUUGUCCAACUCUCCUCCACAAUGAACAUGGACACCACAGCUAGAUCAGGUUGCCCUGGGCCUGAUCUGGUCUUACCUUCGAAGUCUCCAGGGACAGAGCAUUCACAGCAUGUCUGGGUAACCUGUCUCAGUGCCUCACCACCAUCACUGUAAAAGACCUUUCUUAUAUCCAACUACUGAAAUCUACCCCCUUUACUCCUGAAACAAUUUACCCUUAUUUUAUCAGAACGGUUUCCAAUUUAAAGAAAAAUUUCUUGUCUCUGCUCCUAUAUAGCUCAUUUCUUUGUAAUUUCAAAGCCUUAAGUAUUAAUCAUAUCUCUAUUUGGUUGGAGUUACACAACUAAUUUCUGAAAUCUGAGCAGAGAUCACAUGUGUAUCCAGAAGGAAAUGUCUGCAUUAGGUAUUGUUUUGCUCAGAAAUGGAGCUAUUCCGUCUCUGCUCUGCAGCUACCUUUGUUUUGAAAUUCAGGGUUAAAAACCCACGCUGAACAAUGGAGGAAAAAGAAACCCACAAUCUGAUGCGUAAGAAACUGUGAAAUAAAGGCAUUUGUUAUAAAGUUGUUAUAAAG